UGGCUCCAAAGCAGCUGCAGAUCUUCAUCCACCAAAGGUUGAUAGCAUGCAUGAAUAUAUUGUAAAUGGGAGAGUUGAUCUCUCUGUACCUGUGAGCAAUGAAGUUCAGGACAAGCUGAUCUCAGUGAGAGGAAGAAUGCGAUUAAAUCAAUUAAGACGUGAAGCUCGUUUGGGAAAUGCCAGAACAUUGGACAGAGAUUCAACAGAACACAA
This 213-nucleotide unclassified non-coding RNA is filed under the name Hevea brasiliensis (rubber tree). The record is from RNAcentral. Lineage: Eukaryota; Viridiplantae; Streptophyta; Magnoliopsida; Malpighiales; Euphorbiaceae.